GAAUGAAAAAGUUUUGGCAAAUGGAAUCCCAGCUUCCCGCACGUCGUCAUGGGGUGCUGAUUGGCAAGACCUAAUGGACGCGUAGUCAUGGGGUGUUGAUCAACUCCUAAUGGGGCAAGACCUCCCCUCCCUAUAAAUAUAAAGGGCCACGGCCGAUUGAGGGCAUCCAAUCGAUCAAAAAUCAAUCUAUCUUUUAUCGUUUUACCUUUCUU
This 212-nucleotide long non-coding RNA is filed under the name Setaria viridis. Its description in RNAcentral is "long non-coding RNA (SVIR_LNC009815)". The record is from RNAcentral. Lineage: Eukaryota; Viridiplantae; Streptophyta; Magnoliopsida; Poales; Poaceae.